This 950-nucleotide non-coding RNA is filed under the name Rhyacichthys aspro (loach goby). RNAcentral's name for it is "12S rRNA". It matches the Rfam family "Bacterial small subunit ribosomal RNA". The record is from RNAcentral. Lineage: Eukaryota; Metazoa; Chordata; Actinopteri; Gobiiformes; Rhyacichthyidae.
CAAAAGCUUGGUCCUGACUUUACUAUCAGCUCUGGCCAGACUUACACAUGCAAGUAUCCGCGUUCCCGUGAGAAUGCCCUACGAUUCCCCUACAGGAAUCAAGGAGCCGGUAUCAGGCACAACUUCAGACGUUAGCCUACAACACCUUGCUCAGCCACACCCCCAAGGGAACUCAGCAGUGAUAGACAUUAAGCCCUAAGUGUAAACUUGACUUAGUUAAAGCCAAGAGAGCCGGUAAAACUCGUGCCAGCCACCGCGGUUAUACGAGAGGCUCAAGCUGAUAGACGCCGGCGUAAAGGGUGGUUAAGAAAUAACAAAACUAAAGCCGAACUUCUCCAAGGCUGUCAUACGCACCCGGAGAAAUGAAGAACCCCUACGAAAGUGGCUUUAAACCUCUGAACCCACGAAAGCCAGGAUACAAACUGGGAUUAGAUACCCCACUAUGCCUGGCCCUAAACAAAGGCAGCAUUCUCACACCUGCUGCUCGCCUGGGAACUACGAGCAUUAGCUUAAAACCCAAAGGACUUGGCGGUGCUUUAGAUCCACCUAGAGGAGCCUGUUCUAGAACCGAUAACCCCCGUUCAACCUCACCCUUUCUGGUCUUUCCCGCCUAUAUACCACCGUCGUCAGCUUACCCUAUGAAGGCCUUAUAGUAAGCAAAACUGGCAAAGCCUAAAACGUCAGGUCGAGGUGUAGCGCAUGAAAGGGGAAGAAAUGGGCUACAUUCACUGAUGCAGUGAACACGAACGAUAGCCUGAAAUAACUAUCUAAAGGAGGAUUUAGCAGUAAGGAGGAAAAUAGAGCGUUCCCCUGAAACUGGCCCUGAAGCGCGCACACACCGCCCGUCACUCUCCCCAAACCCACUGAAUACAAGUAAAUAACACACAAAAGACAUAAAGGGGAGGCAAGUCGUAACAUGGUAAGUGUACCGGAAGGUGCACUUGGAAAAC